UGCAAAUUGUAUAAGUGCAGCGUUGAACGCACUGACAUGAAGUUAAUAUAGACGAAAAUUAAAAGUUAAUAUUUAAGUGAACACGAAGUAAUAGCAAAUACUUGCAUAAAAUAAUUUUGGAAAGGAGGCUGUGUGGGAUUUGUAAACUUAGGGGCAGUUGUACAAUCGCCGACUAAAUCCAAGUUGGAAUAAGCUAACCACCGUAUAACCACAGGUAUAACUUUGAGUGCGCGUUGUAGCAUGCGGUUUUAUUCCGCAGUUAGUUGUUCCUGGAAUAGCGAUCCCGUCUAGUUAAGUUGGCGACAACCGAAGUGCAUGGUGGGUAUUUGCGCGCAUGUGAUUCAGUUUAUUUACUUCUCGUCGUCUGCUAAAGAAGUUUUGUCAACUUGGGCGAGAAACGAUCAAGGAAGCAAAACUAUUUAAAAAACUUGUAGACAUGACACAAGAUUAGGAAAACAUUAUAGAGAACAAGAAAAGGGAUGCAUUGAAAAGAAGAAAGCAUGUGACAAAAUAUGUGAUGCAUAUAAUCCACAAUGUCGCACAGACCGAGCGAACAACUUCAACAGAACUGAUUCACUAAAGAAAGAGACGAAAAAAUAUUAUGCCAUAUUAAGGCAGCAAAGCUGCAGUGUGGCUGUGAUCCAUUUGUGCAGCACAAGUACCAAGUUGUGUAUGCCAAUAUAUGCAAUUCGAUGAAACUAUCCAUAGCGAAAGUCAUUUUGAUUCUGACGCAACGUUUAAAAGCAAGAUAAUAUUCCCUCCAAAGUAUCUGAAUGAUAGAGUGUCCUACAACCUAUGACAGCACGGGCGUAACGGAGAUUGUUUUUGCCGAUAAUACCGAGGUGUGGCAUCAGUCCAGGAGAAUGCCUGUCAGCUACACAAGUAUCAGGUACAUCACAAUAAUGUUCUAGGUAUGCUGUACUUGCAGGUUAUCAGAACUGUUAAGCACAAAUCUAACACUAAAGCUCAAAAUCUACAUCAGAAAAUUGUAAUUCCAUUCUAAAGAGAUUUUUCAUUAUGUGAUUCUAAAAACUAAAGCACAUUCAUUAGUUUUUAUGACAGGUUGUACAGAAUUUGACUCAUGAAGCAAUGUGUGUAUAGUGUGUGUGGUGACUGAUAGUGAGAUAUGA
Long non-coding RNA from Schistocerca nitens (vagrant locust), 1130 nucleotides. RefSeq lists it as uncharacterized. The transcript is spliced from 4 exons. The record is from RefSeq and is a predicted model, not a curated record. NCBI's taxonomy places the organism in Eukaryota, Metazoa, Arthropoda, Insecta, Orthoptera, Acrididae.